AACAAAGUCGGAAUACCCACAUAUCAUGUUCUUCUCCACUUAAUAAGCAGUUGAUAUAAUUUUCAACUGCUUUACAUAAGAAGCGUUUACGAUCCUCUUUCAGUGCACGCAGGGCUAAUUCAUCCAACUCCAGCUCUCGCUGAACCUUUACUGUGUAUCUGUUUGUCUGAAUUUUAUGUUCCCUAAGGAGACCUACUUCCUCUUUGGCUCUUUUCAGGAGAGCUUGCUUGUUUUCAAAUUCCGAUGAUUUCAUGUAGUUUUCAA
This 264-nucleotide long non-coding RNA is filed under the name Homo sapiens (human). RNAcentral describes it as "LNC_000770". The record is from RNAcentral. Lineage: Eukaryota; Metazoa; Chordata; Mammalia; Primates; Hominidae.